Molecule: ribosomal RNA, 790 nt
Filed under: Bacillus anthracis (anthrax bacterium)
Lineage: Bacteria; Bacillati; Bacillota; Bacilli; Caryophanales; Bacillaceae
Description: bacterial SSU rRNA
Rfam family: Bacterial small subunit ribosomal RNA
Source: RNAcentral
GGGGGGGCAAAGACUAUACAUGCAAGUCGAGCGAAUGGAUUAAGAGCUUGCUCUUAUGAAGUUAGCGGCGGACGGGUGAGUAACACGUGGGUAACCUGCCCAUAAGACUGGGAUAACUCCGGGAAACCGGGGCUAAUACCGGAUAACAUUUUGAACCGCAUGGUUCGAAAUUGAAAGGCGGCUUCGGCUGUCACUUAUGGAUGGACCCGCGUCGCAUUAGCUAGUUGGUGAGGUAACGGCUCACCAAGGCAACGAUGCGUAGCCGACCUGAGAGGGUGAUCGGCCACACUGGGACUGAGACACGGCCCAGACUCCUACGGGAGGCAGCAGUAGGGAAUCUUCCGCAAUGGACGAAAGUCUGACGGAGCAACGCCGCGUGAGUGAUGAAGGCUUUCGGGUCGUAAAACUCUGUUGUUAGGGAAGAACAAGUGCUAGUUGAAUAAGCUGGCACCUUGACGGUACCUAACCAGAAAGCCACGGCUAACUACGUGCCAGCAGCCGCGGUAAUACGUAGGUGGCAAGCGUUAUCCGGAAUUAUUGGGCGUAAAGCGCGCGCAGGUGGUUUCUUAAGUCUGAUGUGAAAGCCCACGGCUCAACCGUGGAGGGUCAUUGGAAACUGGGAGACUUGAGUGCAGAAGAGGAAAGUGGAAUUCCAUGUGUAGCGGUGAAAUGCGUAGAGAUAUGGAGGAACACCAGUGGCGAAGGCGACUUUCUGGUCUGUAACUGACACUGAGGCGCGAAAGCGUGGGGAGCAAACAGGAUUAGAUACCUUUGGUAGUCCAAAAAAAAA